RNAcentral lists this ribosomal RNA (283 nucleotides) under uncultured Clostridium sp. RNAcentral describes it as "partial 16S ribosomal RNA". It matches the Rfam family "Bacterial small subunit ribosomal RNA", at positions 355 to 656 of the family's 1533-position model. Lineage: Bacteria; Bacillati; Bacillota; Clostridia; Eubacteriales; Clostridiaceae. The record is from RNAcentral.
UGGGGAAUAUUGCACAAUGGGGGAAACCCUGAUGCAGCGACGCCGCGUGAGCGAAGAAGUAUCUCGGUAUGUAAAGCUCUAUCAGCAGGGAAGAAAAUGACGGUACCUGACUAAGAAGCCCCGGCUAACUACGUGCCAGCAGCCGCGGUAAUACGUAGGUGGCAAGCGUUGUCCGGAUUUACUGGGUGUAAGGGCGUGUAGCCGGGCCUUUAAGUCAGAUGUGAAAUCCGCGGGCUUAACCCGCGAACUGCAUUUGAAACUGAGGGUCUUGAGUAUCGGGGGG